Capsicum annuum is the source of this 1733-nucleotide RNA transcript. RefSeq lists it as uncharacterized. NCBI's taxonomy places the organism in Eukaryota, Viridiplantae, Streptophyta, Magnoliopsida, Solanales, Solanaceae. The record is from RefSeq and is a predicted model, not a curated record. The transcript is spliced from 3 exons.
CUUUUUCUUGGUAGUAUUUUUUUCCUUUUGUGUAGCUAUUGAGCUUUGGAAGUGGCUUUAGUUGGCUCAGGUUCCUCUUGAAUAUCAUUUUCAUUGGUGCUCUUUCCAUUUUCUCCUCUUUCUUCAUCUCAACUUUUCUAUGUAGUGUAAUUGAAUGUCCCAAAAUUUUACCAUGCCUGCGAACAUAGGAAUUUAGCUUGAAUACCUUUUAGAGGGAAAGAUUCAUCCUCAGUGCCAACCCAUGCAGAAUUUAGCUAGGAUUUCAUCAUGCCCACUUUGACCCUUACUUUUGAAAAACUCGAUCUUAUUUUUAUGAUUCGUAGCUAGGUCCAUGAAUAAGGUACCUAGAGGUCCUAUACGAUUUGUUUGACGUAGUUCUACGUACAACAGUGGAGAUUUUUUUGAUAUUUCAUUUGACAGGAUAAUCUGUCAUUUUCAUUGUGGAAACCAAAAGCACAUUUUCUUCUUCAUUGCUCAUAACCUUUUUUAUUUCUAUUAUCUUCAUUUUCUUUCUCAUUCUUUUAAUAAAGUUCAUUGGGUUUUCAGAUCUGGGGAAAAAAGUUAGAGGUAGCAUCCCAGUGGCAAAGUUGAUAAUGGCCUGAGGAUGAAAAAUUGGAGUUUAUGAUUGAAAGAAGGUGCACCGAUUUCUUUGCGAGAAAAAGCGGAGGGAAGGAGAUGGUAUUAGCAAUAACUGAAUAGUGAAGUAAAUCUAUGAUAUUUUUCGACAACUUAAAUCCAAAGGAGUGUAGAAUAGAAAAAGAAAUAGAAGUAACUCUAAUAGAUAGAGAGAGAAGCUCCUCCCUCUCUCUAAAAAGAACCUUUCAUCCUCUUCAACCGAUCCCCCAACCCCAAUUUUAAAUCAAAUUCCUUCAAAACUACCAGACCCCUCCUCUUCUUCUUCACUACCUCCUUUAAAUCUAAGUUAUUGGCUUCAGAACAACUUGUGGACUUGAACAUGGAAGAUUGCUCAGAAGAGAAUGCAUCAAAAAGCCCGUCACCAUCCUAGGAAGAUAUUGGGAAAAUUUCUAAUGGGUUAAAAACUAUUGUUCUGUCUGAUGAAGAUAAUGCAAGGAUUUACUCACCUUGGAAACAUUCCUUGAUCAUCUGUAUUUUGGGGGAAGGAUUUUUGUGUAUUGGGUGUGGUCGUUUGGGGAAUACCCAAGAAAAAUGUCUCUACUCGAAGGCUUCACCCCCAUCAAGCAUCCCAUCACUUGAGGUAACCCCUAUCAAAUUGCCAUCCUCUACUCAAUCAAAUAGUCCGCAAGAAGGGAAAAUGGUUAAAUUUCCUCCAAGGCGCAGACAUCAGUCUGGUAGAACUUCAACACCAAUCCCAACCAACAACAAAAUAGAGACAAAGAAAAAGCCUGAUUUGUCGCCAAACAUCAACAAUACAGAGAUAAUAACCAAAAAUAUCCGUAUAGCUGGUCAAUAUUGAAGAACUUGGUGAAUCCAGUGGUACGACAUAAUUUCUGACAAGCAAAUGGUGUGGCGGAUGGCUUAUCAGGAUUAGGAUCUCACCUAUCUAGAACAUCUUUUUGUUGCAUUUUGCUUUCCUCCCCCCCCCCCCCCCCCCCCCGAUGUUGUUCAACUCCAACUGAAACAAGAUCAUGAAGGGCUGCUAAAUAGUAAACUAGUUUCUUGGUCCACCUGUAAUAAAUUACUAUGUUUUGGAAAUUAGUCUGUAAUAUUCUUUCUUAGUAACUCUAAUUCUGUUUUGUUGGCUUCUUGGCAAA